RNAcentral lists this ribosomal RNA (503 nucleotides) under uncultured bacterium. RNAcentral describes it as "bacterial SSU rRNA". It matches the Rfam family "Bacterial small subunit ribosomal RNA", at positions 28 to 518 of the family's 1533-position model. The record is from RNAcentral.
GAUGAACGCUAGCUACAGGCUUAACACAUGCAAGUCGAGGGGCAGCAUGUCGGUUGCUUGCAACCGACGAUGGCGACCGGCGCACGGGUGAGUAACGCGUAUCCAACCUACCCCUUGUCCAUCGGAUAACCCCGUCGAAAGGCGGCCUAACACGAUAUGCGGUUCUCAGCAGGCAUCUAACGAGAACGAAAUGUGAAGGAGAAGGAUGGGGAUGCGUCUGAUUAGCUUGUUGGCGGGGUAACGGCCCACCAAGGCGACGAUCAGUAGGGGUUCUGAGAGGAAGGUCCCCCCACAUUGGAACUGAGACACGGUCCAAACUCCUACGGGAGCAGCAGUGAGGAAUAUUGGUCAAUGGGCGAGAGCCCUGAACCAGCCAAGUAGCGUGCAGGACGACGGCCCUAUGGGUUGUAAACUGCUUUUAUAAGGGAAUAAAGUGAGUCUCGUGAGACUUUUUGCAUGUACCUUAUGAAUAAGGACCGGCUAAUUCCGUGCCAGCAGCCGAC